CCAAUAUCAAAUUUUCUUUGAUAGCCAAUCAGCCAUAUGGCCCGUUUUCUUCCAAUUCAAGAGAGAGGUCUUUCGACAUGUGGCCUUCCCUUUGAAUUCUUUUUAAGCUACAGACUCUUCCCAUUACUGUUUGUAACAAAUCAAUUUUGGGAUGCCAUAUUUGAGAAUGGCGCAGAGGCAACGUCAUGGAACACACAAACCAUCCCCACAGCGGCAUAAUUUUUUCUAUCUGUAUCCAAUAUUUUUUUUUUGAGGUGCAAACCCAAGCCUUGAUUGAGAGUGAAACACCCAGACUUUAUUUUUUGGGUGCAAUACCCAAAUUUGUUUUUAGGAUGCAAAACCCAAACUUUGUUUCCGGGGUGCAAAACCCAAUGCUUUGAUUUCAGGGUUUAUAACCCCAUGAUGGAUUGAACAUCCAAGAAAUUUUGAUUCAAGGAAUGCUGCCCCAAAAUUUGAUUUGUGGGUUUUAUACCCAAUCAUAGGGGACUUCAGGAGAGGAGCCUUGUUGAAGAUGCAACAUGUAUCUGACUGCUUCUGUCUUUGCAGGGAGUAGGGGUGUUGAGCCUCAUUUUUCCUCCACAGUCUCACGAUUGUCCUUCUCUGCCUUUGUGGCUUUUCGGGUUUUUCCUCCCUCUCUGUAAAAAUUCUCCAGCAGCCUUCCCCUUUGUGGGUUCUCCCCCACAUCAUCUGCUAUUCUUCCUUUGAUGCUUGUUUGUGGCUUUGGAUGCUCAAGGCAUCUGUGAGAGAAAUCUCACUGUCCUGCCGCAUUUAAGAACAACGAACGAAGAACUUCGUGUUUGUUGCUCUCUGUAGAAAUCUGUCAGCAAAUUCAUUUGCCCUUGUAUGCUCUCCCCCCCUUUGUUCCUAGGCGUCAUGCCUCUUAUAGAGGCUAUAUUAUGACGAGUUUGAAUUCAAGCUGAUGACCACUUCUCAACUGAGAUGCUUAUCUCUUGGUGUUUCAUAUCUAAACAAAUGCAUCUCUUUUUUUUUUUCUUUUUUUCUUUUUUUUUCUUGAUAAGACUGCAGGGACAAGAAUUUCAAUUAUAUCCCAAGUCAAAUUCCUAGUUGAUUGCUUUUGUGAAAAUUUCCCGUUCAACACACACAUAAAGCAAUUGUCCAGAAAUUUAUCAAGCAAAAGGGGUAUAUCUAACUCAGUUUAUUUUUUUCCUGGGUUGUCAAAGUGUUCAAACAUUCAAAACAUAAUUUAACACAAUAACAUGUCAAAUUUUCCAAAAUGGUGACAUAAUGUACCCAUGAAGUGUCUCAUGUUGUCGGCGAAGAGUAUCGCCAAUACCAUGGGCAUCUAAUGCCUUCCAUGCAUUUGUCCAUGUUCAGAAUGCAAACCCUGUUGUCCUCAAACUAUCCGACGAUUCCAACACUAAGCUUCGGAUACCAAGCCUGCAGCCAAAAAAAAUUGACUUUUGCUUGCUUAGAGUCAUGGUGAACUACAUACUUACAAUCAUAACUUGUUUUAGCAGUACUAAAACACACACAGACAUGCACAGAUGAGAGAGAGAGAGAGAGAGAGAGAGAGAGAGAGAGCCUAUGAAGUCCUAAGGAUGUUGCAAGGCCAGCAAUUCCAGCUCCUACAAUCACAACGCGUGCUUCUGC
RNAcentral lists this long non-coding RNA (1611 nucleotides) under Prunus dulcis (almond). RNAcentral's name for it is "sRNA ncRNA". Lineage: Eukaryota; Viridiplantae; Streptophyta; Magnoliopsida; Rosales; Rosaceae. The record is from RNAcentral.